This 250-nucleotide ribosomal RNA is filed under the name uncultured bacterium. Its description in RNAcentral is "partial 16S ribosomal RNA". It matches the Rfam family "Bacterial small subunit ribosomal RNA", at positions 524 to 773 of the family's 1533-position model. The record is from RNAcentral.
UACGGAGGGUGCAAACGUUGUUCGGAAUCAUUGGGCGUAAAGGGCGCGUAGGCGGUGAAGUGUGUCCGAUGUGAAAGCCCGGGGCUUAACCCCGGAAGUGCGUCGGAAACUGCAUCACUUGAGUCUCGGAGAGGAUAACGGAAUUCCUGGUGUAGAGGUGAAAUUCGUAGAUAUCAGGAGGAACACCGGUGGCGAAGGCGGUUAUCUGGACGAAGACUGACGCUGAGGCGCGAAAGCGUGGGGAGCAAAC